AGUGAACGCUGGCGGUAGGCCUAACACAUGCAAGUCGAACGGCAGCACAGUAAGAGCUUGCUCUUACGGGUGGCGAGUGGCGGACGGGUGAGGAAUACAUCGGAAUCUACUUUUUCGUGGGGGAUAACGUAGGGAAACUUACGCUAAUACCGCAUACGACCUACGGGUGAAAGCAGGGGAUCUUCGGACCUUGCGCGAUUGAAUGAGCCGAUGUCGGAUUAGCUAGUUGGCGGGGUAAAGGCCCACCAAGGCGACGAUCCGUAGCUGGUCUGAGAGGAUGAUCAGCCACACUGGAACUGAGACACGGUCCAGAGUCCUACGGGAGGCAGCAGUGGGGGAUAUUGGACAAUGGGGGCAAGCCUGAUCCAGCCAUACCGCGUGGGUGAAGAAGGCCUUCGGGUUGUAAAGCCCUUUUGUUGGGAAAGAAAAGCAGCAGGUUAAUACCCCGCUGUUCUGACGGUACCCAAAGAAUAAGCACCGGCUAACUUCGUG
Molecule: ribosomal RNA, 492 nt
Filed under: uncultured bacterium
Lineage: Bacteria
Description: partial 16S ribosomal RNA
Rfam family: Bacterial small subunit ribosomal RNA
Source: RNAcentral